This 232-nucleotide ribosomal RNA is filed under the name uncultured bacterium. Its description in RNAcentral is "partial 16S ribosomal RNA". It matches the Rfam family "Bacterial small subunit ribosomal RNA", at positions 1268 to 1500 of the family's 1533-position model. The record is from RNAcentral.
CAAAUCUCCAAAAGCCGUCCCAGUUCGGAUUGCAGGCUGCAACCCGCCUGCAUGAAGUUGGAAUCGCUAGUAAUCGCGGAUCAGCAUGCCGCGGUGAAUACGUUCCCGGGCCUUGUACACACCGCCCGUCACACCAUGAGAGUCGGGAACACCCGAAGUCCGUAGCCUAACCGCAAGGGGGGCGCGGCCGAAGGUGGGUUCGAUAAUUGGGGUGAAGUCGUAACAAGGUAAC